RNAcentral lists this ribosomal RNA (460 nucleotides) under uncultured bacterium. RNAcentral describes it as "partial 16S ribosomal RNA". It matches the Rfam family "Bacterial small subunit ribosomal RNA", at positions 338 to 795 of the family's 1533-position model. The record is from RNAcentral.
CCUACGGGAGGCAGCAGUGAGGAAUAUUGGUCAAUGGGCGCGAGCCUGAACCAGCCAAGCAGCGUGAAGGAUGACUGCCCUACGGGUUUUAAACUUCUUUUAUAAAGGAACAAAGUGUGGCACGUGUACCUAUUUGUAUUUACUUUAUGAAUAAGGAUCGGCUAACUCCGUGCCAUCAGCCGCGGUAAUACGGAGGAUCCGAGCGUUAUCCGGAUUUAUUGGGUUUAAAGGGAGCGUAGAUGGGUUGUUAAGUCAGUUGUGAAAGUUUGGGGCUCAACCGUAGAAUUGCAAUUGAUACUGGCAGUCUUGAGUACAGUAGAGGUAGGCGGAAUUCGUGGUGUAGCGGUGAAAUGCUUAGAUAUCACGAAGAACUCCGAUUGCGAAGGCAGCUUACUAAGCUGCCACUGACAUUGAUGCUCGAAAGUGUGGGUAUCAAACAGGAUUAGAUACCCCAGUAGUC